Molecule: long non-coding RNA, 1811 nt
Organism: Oncorhynchus mykiss (rainbow trout)
Lineage: Eukaryota; Metazoa; Chordata; Actinopteri; Salmoniformes; Salmonidae
Source: RefSeq, a predicted model, not a curated record
GAGGGAGUGGGACGUCAGAGGAGGUUAAAGUGUGAACAGUAAAGGGGCGUGGAGGUUUCACACAAGAAAGAGUUAUAAUCCACUCCCAGCCUUCUCCUUUUUCAGACACCACUAACUUUCAUGGUGACCACAACCAAAACUGAGACUGCAAAAGAAAGAAAGAUUGCUCAAGAAAAUAUUAUAAACAAGAAAUAUCUGGAUAACAUUUGGAUAUGUUAAAUCAAGUCUUCACGAACCUGAAGCCACAACCAACUAGCAGCUGUGAUCAUUAAUUAAAUCCAGGAAGGAAAAUAAAUCAAAGAAAAUAUCAGCUUUCUUCUUCACAGCUCUGUCAGCCGUCAUAAGUGAGGAUUUCAGUUUGACUGGAGAGUAGACAGAGGCAUACAGAGCUGUACUUUCCCAAUCAAGAUCAAGCCUGGACUAAAAUGUCUUCCCAAUCAGCAACAAUGGAGGACAUUCCACUGACUGCUGUCCCAGGUCCAGGUGAAACGACAGAUGCCCAAAAUGACACCACCUGCCUUCAAGUGAUCACCUGCUGUGGUCGUGACCAUACUGUUCCCUCCUGUGCCAAGGACAGGGACUAUAGGAGACUGGCCAUUAGCAGCAUCAUCUGUGGACUCUCCUGCAUUGGCAUUUUAGCUUUGGUCAACUCAGUCAAGGCUCGAGAGGCAAGGAAGACGACUCCAGAGAAGGCUAAACAAUACUCCCAACGGGCAAAAACGUUUGGGAUCAUUUCUAUUGUGGUGUGGGUGGUGAUUCUGGUACUCAGCCCACUACUAUUGGGACUGGUGUCAUACAUACUCACUCUGAUAGACUGACCAAUUCCCAGGAACCACCAAGGUCGGAUGUACUGUACCAUAAGGAUGGCUACAGGACAACGGUCCAACUUCUUUAGUAUUGAUCUUGGACUGCUGUGACACUGUGAGGUGGGAACAGAUGGAAAAGCACCUCCGGUGACUCGGGGAGACCCCACUGUAUACAGCCUCCCUGAGUAUCAUUCUGAUAAGGCUGUCUUGCUGAUAAGGAUUUACAAAGGCACCUUUAACUUUAUUUUGUGUCACUCUGGAAUUUAUCGCUGGAAGACUGGUUUAUAGUUAACAUUCAAGUGAUGCCACAGCUAUAAAUACAUUAUAAAUAUUAAGAUAUUUUGACAUUUAUCAGUAGCCCAACCAGACUUUUAGCACUUAAGAGUAAGGACUGUAGUCAGACUACCUUCUUCCUGAAUAAGAGGUUGGUUCAGAGACGAGAGAUGAGCAAGGGGACACAAAAUAAGCACUUGUUUUUGAGAUAGCAUUUAAUGGACACGGUUUAUUUGCUGACAUACAUGAGUCCAAGACUGUAUGAGUAUAAAACAGCAGAUUUUUAAAAAUCCUGUAUAAAUUCAAAACAAACUGUGAGCCACUAUACAGGGGCCUGACUCCAAAACACUCCCAUGUCCACUAUCUGUCUCAACCUUGACGUUUCACUUUUACCAUUUAUGAUAUGCAACAUUAACUUUAUUUUUUAACAAUGUUAUAUUUUUUAUCAGUGAAAUAAAUACAUGUGUAUAUGUGAGGAACUAAAUCUAAAUGUCUAAUUAUAAAGGACAAAUUGUGAACUAGGUAUAAUUAAAUCAGGGCAGUGUUUCUGAUUUACAGUAAUCGUGAAAACUGCCUUUGGUUUUAAAUACCAAAAAUGUACAUUACUUCAUUUUGUUUACAUUAUCAUUUCUACAUUUACUGUAUUCAUGUCAUUGCCUUACUUUGUAUUUUAUAUUUAUACAUAGCAUGUUGUAAAGAUUUUGUAAUUAAAUGAAAAUACAUUUACAUCAA